AACUAAUUUCAUUGCAAGUGUGAAAAAUAUUUCCUGAAUCUCUAAGUCAUUCUCCAUUUCACCUUCUUCUCAUUCUCUUGGCCUUCUGGGAAUAACUCCUCGCUCCUUAAUUCCAAAGAUGGAGAACUUGUUCUUUUCGCCUCAGACUUGCUAAAGGAUACUCUUAGGCCUAUUUCUCUUCACUUAUUCACUUCAUGACAUAAUACUUUCUUCUCUUCUGAGUUCCAUAAGUUAUACUUCUGCAGAAAAAAAGGAGGAAAAAAGAAGAAAUGGAUAUUGGGAGACAAUGGUUUCUGUCACAGUGCUUAUGAUGUGGCAUGUGAUGCCAAAAUGGAGACACUACCCCAAGCACCCUUGUGACACCCUUGGGGGUUGGACCUGGAUCUGCUGAUCCAGAAGGAACCAUGUGUCAUUCAUGCGGCUUUUGCAUAUUGUUCACUGAAUUACCAAGUAAAGAAUACCUGUACAUCAGCUACACACUGAAACCAAAGAGAGGGUAAAAAAUGAAUUUUUCACUUUUGUGCCAAUAUCAGAAGUUUUAUUUGACUUAUAAAAAGCAGGUAAAAUUAAUUUGCAAAAAAGGAUGAAAAUAAAUAUGGUUAGAAUCAUAAAACCAGCAGAGAUCUCAAUGUGUAGACAAACUGGGCAGGGAUGUCAAGCAGAUGGAGGACAAAUCACCUGCUAUUUCUUAGAGAUGGUAAUAUUUUCCAGUGAGCAGAGAGCUAUGGUAUUCAGUGUCGACAGAGGGAAUUGCUCUUUUAUGGCGGUAAUGAAUCAUUUAGGCGAAGAAUUCAGGCACCUGAGUCACAUUUGCUGCCUCGUGGACUUCAUCAGCCUGGCUCAGAUGCUUCCUGCUUUCCUGGGGGCUUUCAGGAAAAGGCUUUUGACUGAGGAUACUCUGCUUCUUUUCACUUGUCACUGGGUGGAUGUGGUCUGUCCCACAGCAAGUAGUGGAACAAGGUAUCCACCUACAAAUGUGAUUCCUGGAAAGAAAGCUUAGGAAUUCCCCUCAUCCAUUGCAAAAUAAAGAAAUGGAUUUCUGGCCCAUCUGAUUGCUGAAGCUGAAGUUCCAUCACCGGACUACACACCGUGUCUUGGGCUUUGCUUCAGAGUUAACAGGUGACAUUCAAGGAGAUGGUAUCAGUCUUUUAAACAUUGUUGUGCAAACAUUUAUUUAAUUAUAUUCCAAAAUUAGAUGUUAAUAGGAGGAAAGAACAGAAAGACUAUGGAGGAACUGAGCUGGCUAGGGCAAAGGAGACUUUGUAGAAAAGGGAAGACUCCCAAUAAUAACUUCUACUUCUUAUUUACCAAGCAUUGUUCUAGUUGCUUGGUAUAUAUGAUCUAGUUUAAUCCUCUCCAAAUCCUGGCUAUAAGCAAUUCUUAUAUUAUAGAUGAGGCAACAAGGGCCCGUAUAAAUUAAGUAACGUGUCCAAAUUUAGUCAACAAAUGAGUGGUGGAAUUGACAUCUGGACUGGGGUUGACCACUCAGACAUGGACAACGAAGCUCCACGCUGUCUAGCAACUUGCCACUUUGAUAAGGUCCAUCUCAUUUGGGAUCCGCCAUGCUUCCCUCGACCAUCCUUUGUCUAAUGUCACCAGAAUCUCUGCUCAGAUCAUCAAGGACCAGGAACCAGGACAUCUUUAGUUCUACUCACAAUUCUAUCACUAGGAAGUGUGUGACUUUGAGCAAGUCACUCCAAUUCUUUUGUAGUAUUCCUUCGACUGUAAAAUCAGAGUGGGACAGGAUCAGUGGUUUCUAACUGUUUUGAGAGGCAUAGACCUUCCAAUAAUGACCCUUUUUCCCCACCUAAGUGAACUUUCAUACAAAAUUUUGCCCAUAAUUUCACAUUCUUAUGGACUUCCUGAAAUUUGGGUCAGGCUGAGCAUCUCCGCAUUGGAUAGUCUUUCCAUUGUUCUUUGGCGAGGGCUGCUGCUUUAGACUUUUCACCUUCUUCGAUUUUUGGAGGGAUAAGAGGUGGUAGUGGUCGUGGGUUAGGUAAAGUGUCAAAGAAUAAGGAAAAUGUAAAUCUAAUGUAAUUAAAUGGAAGCUAAAUGUCUACAUUUCUGUAACAUAGUAUUUUAUGAACUAUUUUUUAUCAAGAAGAGUAUUAAUUCUUUACCAUUGAGGGGUGCUUGUGAGUAAAUUUCAAUAACGUUUAAUGCUCAGUUUUCUACAAUUCUACUCUUUUUUAAUAAUGAUGAUUAAUAAUAAUAAUAGUAUAUCUAUCAUAUAUUGAACACUUACAUCUAAGUACUGUGCUAAAUGUUUCGCAUGCAUUAUCUUAUCUAAUCUUUGCAAAUAUCCUAUAAAGGAGGUACUAUUGUCACUAUUUUAAAGAUGAGAUUAGAGGCCCAGAGAAGUUGGAAAUGUGUAGAUGUAUUUUUUAAAAAUAUAUAUACUCAGUUUCGAUCUCAGUUUGGCUUCUCUAAUUACUUAAGAUUCUAAAUAAGUACAUCAUUGAACUAAAAUUCAUUGUUGUCAAGCAAAAAUGG
Long non-coding RNA from Equus caballus (horse), 2493 nucleotides. The record is from Ensembl. Lineage: Eukaryota; Metazoa; Chordata; Mammalia; Perissodactyla; Equidae.